Gossypium hirsutum (cotton) is the source of this 161-nucleotide non-coding RNA. NCBI's taxonomy places the organism in Eukaryota, Viridiplantae, Streptophyta, Magnoliopsida, Malvales, Malvaceae. The record is from Rfam.
AUACUUACCUGGACGGGGUCAAUGAGUGAUCAGGAAGACUCAUGGCCUAGAGCAGUGACCUCCAUUGCACUUGGGAGGGGUGCUGCUUUAAGGUCUCCCCAAGAGGGAGAGCCUACGUCAUAAUUUGUGGCAGUGGGGGCUUGCGUUCACGCAGCCCCUAU